This 447-nucleotide ribosomal RNA is filed under the name uncultured bacterium. Its description in RNAcentral is "SSU rRNA". It matches the Rfam family "Bacterial small subunit ribosomal RNA", at positions 26 to 518 of the family's 1533-position model. The record is from RNAcentral.
AGAACGAACGCUGGCGGCAGGCUUAACACAUGCAAGUCGAACGCGUGUAGCAAUACACGAGUGGCGCACGGGUGAGUAACGCGUGGAUAUCUGCCUUUUGGUUCGGAAUAACCCCGGGAAACUGGGGCUAAUACCGGAUGGUUCCUACGGGAUAAAGAUUUAUCGCCAAAAGAUGAGUCCGCGUACGAUUAGCUAGUUGGUGAGGUAAUGGCUCACCAAGGCGACGAUCGUUAGCUGGUCUGAGAGGACGAUCAGCCACACUGGGACUGAGACACGGCCCAGACUCCUACGGGAGGCAGCAGUGGGGAAUAUUGGACAAUGGGGGCAACCCUGAUCCAGCCAUGCCGCGUGAGUGAUGAAGGCCUUCGGGUUGUAAAGCUCUUUUGGCGGGGACGAUGAUGACGGUACCGCAGAAUAAGCCCCGGCUAACUUCGCGCCAGCAGCCGC